RNAcentral lists this transfer RNA (95 nucleotides) under Burkholderia pseudomallei. RNAcentral's name for it is "tRNA-Pro(cgg)". Lineage: Bacteria; Pseudomonadati; Pseudomonadota; Betaproteobacteria; Burkholderiales; Burkholderiaceae. The record is from RNAcentral.
CGCUCGACGGGCGGCGGCGCAUCGCGCCGACAUCGGAAAACGGCGAGCUCAGUGACUGAGCGCGUGCGCCGAUUCGAGCCCGACGUCGAGCGCCC